This is a non-coding RNA of Podarcis lilfordi (Lilford's wall lizard), 74 nucleotides long. NCBI's taxonomy places the organism in Eukaryota, Metazoa, Chordata, Lepidosauria, Squamata, Lacertidae. The record is from the annotation of a GenBank genome assembly.
GCCCGAAUUUUUCAGUUGAUUAGAGUGUGAUGCUGAUAACACCAAGGUUGUAGGUUCGAUCCCUGUAUGGGGCA